Molecule: long non-coding RNA, 1499 nt
Organism: Macrobrachium nipponense
Lineage: Eukaryota; Metazoa; Arthropoda; Malacostraca; Decapoda; Palaemonidae
Exons: 3
Source: RefSeq, a predicted model, not a curated record
CGAAUUUAAAAUUUUAGCUGUUAAAUGAGUGAAACUCUUUGCCAUGUAAUUACUGGGUAAGUAUAUAUGAAGUCUUACUUUUAUAUAAAAAUUUAAAUUUUACUCAUAAAUCAUUAGAUUUAUACUCUCUUGAACCUAUAGUGUGUGAGCCAAGUUGUACUGAAACCUUAAUGGCAGGGAAGGGGAGUAGGGUGGGCAGACUGAUCAUCAUUCUCAUGCUAAGCCCCCCUCUGACCCUUAGGGAUAAAUAUGAGGUAGGCUCUUCUUACACUUUACUUUUAUGGGAAGUGUCAUGUUCCUCUGUUUUAGAUGUUUUUACACAAAGAAGGUACAGUAUAACCCAUGACCUUACUAAAAAAAGACCUUGUCUAGGUCAUUACUCCUUGUUAUUCUCAAGACUAUAGGAUAAAUUUUCCUUAAAGUAGCAGUUACUGGUUCUGUGACCCUCUUACAUUUCCAAGAAAUUUUUUAAGCCCCAAAUAUUGGGUUUGUUUUUAAACAAAUGUAAGUUUUUAAAAAUACAUAAGUUUCUUUUACAUAAAGACCCAUCACUUUACAAAACAUUGGCCACCUCCCUAUCCACUCUGAUUGCAGCUGGUUCAGACUACUCAGAUAAUGACCAGUUCUACCAACAGGGGCACUGGGUACUUGGUCAUACAAGUCGAAAGCAGGACCGUGUUCUUCCGAGACAUGUCUGGAGAUUGCUGCUAGUACAGAUCAGGAUAUUGUAAAGUGAUUAGUUUGGUGUAUCUACAGCAAGGUUUAAAUAAUACCUUUGGGCGUGGAAUUGUUUUAGAUUUUCUGCAGUUCAAUUGGCAGUGGUUAAAUGUUCAACAGAAAAAGCACAACUGGGGCCCAUUAACUUCUAACCUUUUGCUAGUGGGAAUGGAAACUUGUAGGUGUGGUUGUUUGAACUCGAUGUCCUGUCAGUGUAAAGAAAACUUUUGUAUGGCCUUUUUGUUAGUGAAUGCUUCACAGCUUAUUUUUUCUGCUACUUGCUCUUGUCUUCCCUAGUGGUAAGUUCGAGGCUUUCAUUAGGCUUUAAUUAAGCAUAAUUUUUGCCAUUUUCUGUUGAUGCUUUUUAACAACUCAGUUCAUGACUUACAUGGAAUAAAUGUAAUAUGUAUUUGAUUAAUAAUCACUGUGGUAAGAAGUGAAAUUAAGUUUCUAUGCUGGUAAUUUUUAAAUAGAAUAAUCCUGUUCAGAAUUGUAAGUUUUACUCAGGAAGGAAGAUACCAAAAAGUUUCUUCAUUGUUGUAAAUAUUGUAGCUUUGUACAUGUGAGGUGAAGAUACAUAAUUUCUGGUUUUACAGUCAAACCUCGGAUUUCAUAUGCCCUGGUUUUUGUACAAUUUUGACUUGGGUUUCAUACAUAUCCUUGGAUUUUGCACACCAUAAAAUGCUCCUUCCAGUGCCUACCUUGUGACUAGGCCCCAUACUGAGCGCCCAAACAAAGCAUCCCAUGUUCUCUCGUGACUCAUUUUACUUUUGUGUUCAUUG